GCUGAGUCUCCCAUCUCAGGGUAUAUGCGUUACCUUCAAAGCUCACUUGGAGAUGCUGCUCCUAGUGGUAACCAGAUGCAGCCAGGUCAUGAACAUCGCCCAUAUAUGCCGGCUCAAGAACAUCGCCCAUAUAUGCCACCUCAUGAACAUAGGCCUUAUAUGCCACCUCAUGAACAUCGCCCUUAUAUGCAACCUCAUGAACAUCGCCCUUAUAUGCCAGCUCAGCCUCAGUCUCAACCUCAGCCUUAUAUGCCAGCUCAGGCUCAGCCACAGGCACAACCACAUAUGAUGCCUGGAUCGCAACCUC
Molecule: long non-coding RNA, 307 nt
Filed under: Brassica napus (rape)
Lineage: Eukaryota; Viridiplantae; Streptophyta; Magnoliopsida; Brassicales; Brassicaceae
Description: long non-coding RNA (BNAP_LNC006251)
Source: RNAcentral